RNAcentral lists this ribosomal RNA (301 nucleotides) under uncultured bacterium. Its description in RNAcentral is "partial 16S ribosomal RNA". It matches the Rfam family "Bacterial small subunit ribosomal RNA", at positions 509 to 807 of the family's 1533-position model. The record is from RNAcentral.
CAGUAGCCGCGGGAAUACAGAGGGUGCGAGCGUUAAUCGGAUUUACUGGGCGUAAAGCGUGCGUAGGCGGCUUCUUAAGUCGGAUGUGAAAUCCCUGAGCUUAACUUAGGAAUUGCAUUCGAUACUGGGAAGCUAGAGUAUGGGAGAGGAUGGUAGAAUUCCAGGUGUAGCGGUGAAAUGCGUAGAGAUCUGGAGGAAUACCGAUGGCGAAGGCAGCCAUCUGGCCUAAUACUGACGCUGAGGUACGAAAGCGUGGGGAGCAAACAGGAUUAGAUACCCCAGUAGUCCCUGUCUCUUAUAC